Molecule: ribosomal RNA, 1263 nt
Filed under: Chlorella sp. A99
Lineage: Eukaryota; Viridiplantae; Chlorophyta; Trebouxiophyceae; Chlorellales; Chlorellaceae
Description: bacterial SSU rRNA
Rfam family: Bacterial small subunit ribosomal RNA
Source: RNAcentral
UUUUUUGUCAUUUUUUAAUUAGAAUGUCAAUUGAGUGUCAAGUGAAUGUCGUGCAAGAAAUGACUGAGCAAAAAAGAGAUUAUGACAAGGUUUGAAAAAAAAGUCCCGGCUAAUCUCGUGCCAGCAGCCGCGGUAAUACGAGAGGGGCAAGCGUUAUUCGGAAUGAUUGGGCGUAAAGAGCACGUAGGCGGUUUAUAAAAUCCUCAAUAAAAAACUCAAAGCUUAACUUUGAUUAAAGCUGAUGGAUGCAUAAACUAGAGUAAGUAAAAGGAGAGUGGAAUUUCUGGAGUAGAGGUAAAAUUUGUUGAUCUCAGAAGGAACACCGAAAGCGAAGGCAGUUCUCUGGUACUUUACUGACGUUGAGGUGCGAAAGCGUGGGGAUCAAACGGGAUUAGAUACCCCAGUAGUCCACGCUGUCAACUAUGACUAUUCCCUGUUCAACUCUAUCCUAAUAGAGUCGAGUGGGUUAGCUAACGCGUUAAAUAGUCCGCCUGAGGAGUACGGUCGCAAGACUAAAACUCAAAGGAAUAGACGGGGGCUCACACAAGUGGUGGAACAUGUGGUUUAAUUCGAAACAACGCGCAAAACCUUACCAGUCCUUGACUUUCUAUUUUCUCCAACUCACUUAAUUGAGUUUUUUCUUUGAUUCUACAUUUUCUUGUGGAAUAAAAAAGGUUGAAUAGAACAGGUGUUGCAUGGCUGUCGUCAGCUCGUGUGGUGACAUGUUGGAUUAAUUUCCUUAACGAGCGAAACCCCUACCCUAUCUCUACUAAUCGUUUUUCUCUUUUUUACUCAACAUUAGGUGUUGAGGAAGAAUAAGAAAAAUCAAGCACAGAUCAAGGGGACUGCCAGUGAUAAACUGGAGGAAGGGAGGGAUCACGUCAAGUCUUCAUGACCCUUAUGGACUGGGCUACACACGUGUUACAAUGGUGAGGACAAAGAGAUGCAAUGAAGAAAUUCGGAGCAAAACUCAAAAAACUCAUCUCUGUUCAGAUUGAUCUCUGCAAUUCGAGAUCAUGAAGGUGGAAUCACUAGUAAUCGUGAAUCAGCACGUCACGGUGAAUUUGUACCUGAGCCUUGUACUCCCCGCCCGUCACGCACUUCGAAUUCAUCAGGCUGGAAAGAGAAGCUUUUCACUUUUUCUAUUGAGCUUCUGAGAAGCUCCGUUGAUACAACAGUAGAAGGUCUUGAAAAAUCUACCAAGGUAGGGUAAGUGAGAGGUGCGAAGUCGUAACAAGGUAGCCGUAGGGGAACCUGCGGCUG